CCUACGUGGAGCUGCAGUGGGGAAUAUUGGACAAUGGGCGAAAGCCUGAUCCAGCCAUGCCGCGUGUGUGAAGAAGGCCUUCGGGUUGUAAAGCACUUUCAGUGGGGAAGAAAGCCUUGGGGCUAAUACCCUCGAGGAAGGACAUCACCCACAGAAGAAGCACCGGCUAACUCCGUGCCAGCAGCCGCGGUAAUACGGAGGGUGCGAGCGUUAAUCGGAAUUACUGGGCGUAAAGCGCGCGUAGGCGGUCUGAUAAGCCGGUUGUGAAAGCCCCGGACUCAACCUGGGAACGGCAUCCGGAACUGUCAGGCUAGAGUGCAGGAGAGGAAGGUAGAAUUCCCGGUGUAGCGGUGAAAUGCGUAGAGAUCGGGAGGAAUACCAGUGGCGAAGGCGGCCUUCUGGACUGACACUGACGCUGAGGUGCGAAAGCGUGGGUAGCAAACAGGAUUAGAUACCCUGGUAGUC
RNAcentral lists this ribosomal RNA (465 nucleotides) under Vreelandella stevensii. Its description in RNAcentral is "partial 16S ribosomal RNA". It matches the Rfam family "Bacterial small subunit ribosomal RNA", at positions 338 to 795 of the family's 1533-position model. Lineage: Bacteria; Pseudomonadati; Pseudomonadota; Gammaproteobacteria; Oceanospirillales; Halomonadaceae. The record is from RNAcentral.